UGGGUUGUGGCUCAGUGGUAGAGUGCUCACCUAGCACGUGCUAGGUGCUGGAUUUGAUCCUCAGCACCACAU
Molecule: transfer RNA, 72 nt
Filed under: Marmota monax (woodchuck)
Lineage: Eukaryota; Metazoa; Chordata; Mammalia; Rodentia; Sciuridae
Description: tRNA.Ala
Source: RNAcentral